AGUGUGAGGAAUGAGGUGGAAAACCAGAUCAUCCAGGAAGUAAGCGGUACCUUGAAGGUGUGGGUUGGCCUCUACAGAGACCCCUUGGAGUGGUCGGACCGGACUUACUCUUCGUUUAGAUAUUGGAAAGCAGGCAAAUCACCGUAUACUGCCCUUAGUGGUGGAAAAUGUGCUGCUCUAUUAAAAAGUCAGUCUGGUAGAUGGGGAGAACUGCCAUGUGGUGAAGCACAUCCGUUCCUCUGUAACUGUCCUGUUUUGAGCUUCAUUAAAGUGAGAAUCAGCUCACCAGGCUUGGAUCUAAAUGAACCUGCAGUGCAAGAUGACAUACUGAAGCAGAUAAAGCAGGAGCUGAGUAACACGAGUGUGACCAAUGUUUUAGGAUGGAGGAAGCAACCUGAUGGAAGAGUUUUUAUCAAGGAAUCAAACAGAACUGGCUGAAGAGGGAGAGACGAAUCAGAGAAGCAGAUUUAACUCUGCACUCUAACCUGAAGAAUUUCUAUAUGUAAAAUAUGUGUUUACUCACAGCUUCAUUCACAGUGACAAAAACUACUAAGAACCAAAUGUACCAGCUCUACUAUGCUUUAAGUUAGCUCUUUGUUUUGGUCUUACCACACAUUUUUAAAGUCUCUUCCUUGCACUACUUUGUUAUACUACUUUGUUAUAUCUAUGCGUCUGUAGCAAGCUGUCUUGCUACAGACGCAUAGAUUCAGCACUCUGUCUAUGUGCAAUACUUUAAUUGAUGACGGAGCCAGCACACAACAACAGAAUCUGUCCUCAACAUGUGUCUAUGGCUGCUCAGCUCCUCCAGCACAUGGCUCCCAGUCCAUUCAGAUUUUAAACCAAAAAAUCAUUCAGUGACCUUCUCCUUGGUCUGGGCCACAGUCCUCUGAGGGCCAGCACACUGCUGCAUGAAAGAGGGAGAGAUGUAAUCAGAACAAACCAGCAGCAGCUGCAUCACUAUGACAGAGAGUAGUACCAGGUGUGUGUGAGUAGUACCACACACACACUUACCUCUCCCCUGCAGCUGACCACUAACUACACCC
Long non-coding RNA from Epinephelus fuscoguttatus (brown-marbled grouper), 1043 nucleotides. RefSeq lists it as uncharacterized. The record is from RefSeq and is a predicted model, not a curated record. The transcript is spliced from 3 exons. Lineage: Eukaryota; Metazoa; Chordata; Actinopteri; Perciformes; Serranidae.